GAGUUUGAUCGUGGCUCAGAACGAACGCUGGCGGCAUGCCUAACACACGCAAGUCGAACGAGACCUUCGGGUCUAGUGGCGCACGGGUGCGUAACGCGUGGGAAUCUGCCCUUGGGUUCGGGAAUAACAGUGAGAAAUUACUGCUAAUACCGGAUGAUGUCUUCGGACCAAAGAUUUAUCGCCCAGGGAUGAGCCCGCGUAGGAUUAGCUAGUUGGUGGGGUAAUGGCCUACCAAGGCGACGAUCCUUAGCUGGUCUGAGAGGAUGAUCAGCCACACUGGGACUGAGACACGGCCCAGACUCCUACGGGAGGCAGCAGUGGGGAAUAUUGGACAAUGGGCGAAAGCCUGAUCCGGCAAUGCCGCGUGAGUGAUGAAGGCC
This 380-nucleotide ribosomal RNA is filed under the name uncultured microorganism. RNAcentral describes it as "bacterial SSU rRNA". It matches the Rfam family "Bacterial small subunit ribosomal RNA", at positions 9 to 416 of the family's 1533-position model. The record is from RNAcentral.